Marmota monax (woodchuck) is the source of this 11590-nucleotide long non-coding RNA. RefSeq lists it as uncharacterized. The transcript is spliced from 3 exons. Lineage: Eukaryota; Metazoa; Chordata; Mammalia; Rodentia; Sciuridae. The record is from RefSeq and is a predicted model, not a curated record.
AACCCAGUGCCUCUUGCAUGCUAGGCAAGUGCUCUACCAGCUCCGGUUUUUAUAAGCCUCCACAUAGACUUUGUUCUUUAAAUUUGCUUUUGUGUGUAUAUUUUCUCAUUACAAACUUUUUACUGAAGUAUAACUUACAUAAAGAAAGUACAUAAAUCCUAAGUGUACAGUUUGAGGAAUUUUUACACACUAAACACACAUGACAGUCAACUCACAAAUAAAGAAAGGGGACAUUACCUGCACCCCAGGACAUUGUUCCUUCCAUUCACUACUUUCUUAAGAAUCAUUCUGUAGUGACUUUGAACACCACAGGUGAGUUUGCCUGAUUUAAAACUUUAUUCUGAUGAAAUGCUUGAUUAUAUCCUGUUUUAUGUCUGUCUUCUUUUGUUCAACAUUUUGUCUGUGAGAUUAGUCCAUGUUAUGUGUAGCAAUUGUAAUUUUCAUUGCUGUGUAAUAUUCUACUAUAUAAGUAUAACCCAACUUAUUUAUCCAUUUUACUGUAAAGGUAUCUUGUUGUGGGGCUCUUAGGAAUAGAGUUGCUGUGGCCACUCUUGUAUACCUCUAAUGAUGAACAUAUACUUAGUUUCAUGCAUUGUAUACUUAAGAGGAAUUACAAAUAAAUGCUGCCAGUUACCAGUGAAUACUGUCAAAUAUAUUCCCAAGUGGUUGUAAUGAUUUAUAUCUCCACCAGCUGAUAGGAGACUUCCUUUUGUUUCAUGUCGUUGACAAUACUUGAUAUCAUUUUUUUUCUUCAUUUUAGUUUUUGCUAGAUGAUAGCAUCUGCUAGGUGACAAUAGUGUCAAAUUAUGUUUAUUUGUUUGUUUUUUGCAUUUCCCUGAUAACUAAUGAGGUUGAUAUGUUUAUUGGUCACUUGGAUAUUCUUUUUCAUAAUGUGAAUCUUUUUUGCCUCCUUUUUGCUAUUAAAUUGUCUUCCUUUUCCUGGUUGAGUUGUAGGAAUUCUUCAUGAAUUCUGGAUAUGAGUCUUUUGUGGAUUAUACAUAUUUUGAAUAUUGUUUCCAGUCUUUUGCUUGCCUCUUUACACUCUUCUUGGCAUAUUUAUGUAUUUGUGUAGAAUAAUGUUCUAUUAGUUUUUAAUAAUGUCCUAUUAAUGUUUUAUUUAUUUAUUCUUAGUACUGAGAUUGAACUCAGGGUUGCUUAACCACUGAGCCACAUCCCCUUUUUAUUUUUUUAUUUUGAGAUAGGGUCUCACUAAGUUGCUGAGGCUUGCCUUGAAAUUGUGAUCCUUUUGCCUCAGCUUCCCAAGCUGCUAUGAUUAUAGGCAUGCACCACCACAUCUGGCUAUUAAUUGUUUUAAAUUAAUUAACUGAAUAAUUUUACAGUAGAAUGCAUUUUGAUGUGUAGUACACAAAUGGAGCACAACUUCUCAUUCCUCUUGUUAUACAUGGUUCAGGGUCACUCCACUAGUGUAAUCAUACAUGUACAUAGGGAAAUAAUAUCUCUUUCUAUUGUUGGCUAUUAUUUUUAAUGUUAACCAAAUUUAUCAAUUUUUUCCUUUAAUAGUUAGUGCUCUUUGUGUUCUGUUUAAGAAAACUUUGUUUACCCUGUUGUUUUUGUAUUUGAUAGCUUUAUUGCUUUACUUUUUACAUUAGAUCAGUAAUCCAUUUUGAAGUGCUUUUUGUGUAGGGUGAGGGAAAAACUCUUUUUCUUUCUAUUUAGCCAUACAGGUGACUGUAUGUGUGGGUCUGUUUCCUGCAUUAAAAUUUGGAGAUGCCAUGGAGUAAUUUCAUAUUACUUUGAGUUUGAUUUACUAAAUAAGUAGCUAGUCUCUGGGGACAGACAGGGAGGACCAAGAUAGGCCAGAGCAUGAUCAGAGGUCUAGGAAGUUUCCAGAUAUGAAAUCCAUUGACCUAUAGACUUCUCCAAGUAAAAUGACUGUAAUAGAAUCACGAUAUGAACACAUAGUUAACAAACCAGGCAGUUAACUGUCCUCUCUGUUAGAAGAUGGAUAUAUCAUAAGAAGUGGAAUUUAAAGGAAUACAAUACCUACUUUCAAUUUAAUACAACUUCUCACAAGAGCCAAUUGAAUAUGGUUGUUACUUUGUCUAAUGCCAGUUCUCCUCACCGCAAGGUAAGCAUUCUCUGCAAACAGGCUUGGUUCAUGCCCAUUUCUUGGGGUUCAUCACAUCUGCCUGAUAGGAGUACUUAGGAAUUAGACACCCAGAGCAUUUAAUUUCUUGCUUAUCUUAAUUACUCUGUGGAGGGAUUUUUGUUGGUGUCCAGCUGCUUCUAGCAGCCUGAAAUCUUUUAGGUUUUGGAGAUUCUAAAGGAGGUAGGGCUGGGAGCGCCUAAGCUAAGGAGGGUUCCCUCAGAUGAAUGAGCACCCCUUUCCCAAGGGUCCCAUCCAGUUUAAAUCAUGGAGGGACCUCAACUCUCUGGCAAAGCCCCAAUCCAUCAAGAUAAUAUUCCUCUUCUCUAUACUCACGGUGGUAGAUGGAGCAUACUUCUCCCUCCUAGGAAACAUCGGGAUCUGGUCCAGGCACCAUUUGGAGAGUUGCCUUCUACCUCUGCUCCUCUCUCCUGGCCCUAACCUGAAAGUCUGAGCUGCCAUCACUGGGAAACAUCGUUCAUUAAGCAAACCUCAUUGGAGUAAUAGCCUCUUUCUAAGUUUCCAUUUGUUCAAAAAGUACACUUGAGUACCUUCUGUAUACCAGUACUCAAGAACUUCCUCAAGGGAAUUAGCUUACCUGUGUCAGUGUCAAAUGAUAGUCUCUAGUUAAACUUGGGGACUGACAGAAACCUUACCAACACUUGAUCAUCUGACCUCAACUCUUGCCCAUCCCUGUUCUCUGUUAUUUCAAGCAUCUCGCCUGCCUUGUCUGUGCAUCAUGCCCCACUUCAUAUAUCCAUGUGACUUGAGAUAGUCCAUGUCCUAUUAACCACGGGGAAGCCAACCCAGAUGGCAGAUUUUGCAUAGUAACAUACACAAACUGGGCACUGGUGGACGCUCUGGUUACCCUACCCAUGCUCUUCCACACCUUGAGAUCUUCUCUGUUGCUUCAGGGUCUGCUGUCAAGCUUGGGUCAGAGGGGUGCCCCUGUCAGUUCCGUCAGGAGGAAAUCUUUUUCAUAUAUUGGGGUCCUGGGUUCUCCCUCCUGCUUAAUGACAAAAAUAUAACAGAUACGAAGUUAGGGUUACCGUGUGAUGUACUAACAUUUGUCACAUUUCAUUUCAAUCAGGAAAGCGUCCUAGUUACUACAAGUCUUUGCCAGCCCAGAAGUUACAUUACUUUGAUCUUGUCCACUCAUUUGUGUGGGAAGUUAAAGAACCUAAAAUAUUUCUGCUACUACUGCUACUGCUAAGUAUAUGUUGAACAGCUAGAGAUUUUAGUUCAGGCUCUUUAGCUUCUAUUCUUUUAAAUACACAUUUUUUUUAAAAGACUACUGUUUUGUUUGUUUUCAUUUUUUAUUUAAUUUUUAAUUAAUUGAUGCACGUUUAAAAACCAUUGUGUAUAACAGAAUCACAGACUUUCAGAACACAGAGAUAUUAGAUAUCAUUAGUUCAAUCUUCUCAUGACUAAAUAAUAUUGUGAGAUCUCUCUCCCUGAAGAUAUUUUUAAACAUCUUUCACAAUCACGGGAAGUCAGAGCUGGAAGAGAACGAAGGACUGUGCUGGGCCAGCAGUAUUUUUCUAUGGACAGGAACCUGAGGCCCCGAGGAGAACUGUGACUGGAUCAUAUAGAUGGUGCUGGGGUCAGGUCCUGGGUGUCCAGACCCCCAGCCUGCCUAGACAAGGCUACCUCUUACCUCCAGUUCUGCUUCAUAGUUGUUACCCGGAGACAAUCAGGAGUUUCUCAUAGAAUCUGUGAAUGUGCUUGUCAUGAAACAUUAAUCAGUGCCAGAAUUUAGGGUAACAUGGAAAUAGUCAAAAUGUCCUUUGGGCUAGAGCCAUGAGUCCCAGUGGGAGUGGGCUGGGAUAAGUAGUUAUGUUAAUAAAACCUUUCCACAUUAGAAGUGUGAGUCAGAUUCGAUAUAUAAAUAUCAUUAAGAAGUUACACACAGAGGGAGUUUAAUUUUAGUCCAAAUAGAUCAUCUGUUUGCACCCCCUUCUGAAAUAGAGGCGGCAGAAGUUGUUAUGUCUUUCAAAUUACAUUGAUCACUACCGAGAGGAAAACAUCCUGGAGGAGGUCAUUUUCCUUGUGGACUGCUGUCCUGGAUACUGUCUGUCUCUACAAAGCUUGAGUUUCCAGAGCAACCGGGAAAGAGUGGAGAGUGUGCCUUUCUCCUCUUUGCUUUAACCCAUUCAGGAAAUCUCACAUCAGCUCUUCCCCCUGCACUGUGUAGCAGACCACGGGGGCUGUGGAUCUGGGCUGGUGACGGUGCACAAAGUCCUUCUAAGGAGGAGACAUGGAAUUCAGUCAUUCUUCAGUUUCUUGGGAGCUCCCUUUCUGCUCGGGCUCCCUUGUGAGGAGAUGUACCUGGUGGACUUCAGAAAUUGAUCUGCCCCCUUUAUGUGACCUCCACUCUGCUGCUGCUCCUUAAGGUCUUCUCAUGGAUGUUUGUAGAGAAGAUGAGUGUACAUUAUAGCCUCCAUUGGGCUUGUGUCUCAUGACUGGAAGAAGCCAGAUGGGAGCAUUAUAGGAGAGACAGCCCACCCCUCCCAGGAAGUGCCCCGUUUCACAGGGAGACAAUAGCCAGUUGUCUGGUAGACGCUAUAUAAAGCAGAGCUGAGCAGAGGGUCUCUUCAUUAUCUCUGGACUGCCAGCACCGGUCCUAAGCUACUAUAGCUGUGGAAAGAAGCUGGAUCUGAACCGAGAGCGUGAUUCUGUUCUCCCUGGACAGGCCUUGUUCCCAAGAGGCAUUCAUGGGUUGAUCUGCAAAGCAAUCCUGAGCUCCCUUCUGCCUGUUGGGGGAUUUUUAUGCAAAGGGGAUCUCCAUUCCUGGAAUUCUCUGAAAGCUCUCUCUGACAUGCCCUCUGCAACUCAUCAUGUUAAUGGGAAGGGAGGGCUUGGAGGCCAGCCAGUAUGCCCCCACCCCAGCCAUGUCAGGACGGCUGUAUUGAUUGCAGAGUCUGAGGAAGGUUAUGGCAAUGGAUGGGGAUUCACUUGGCUUUCACAAGGCAAGAUAGUGGAGAAAUAAAACUGGCCCUAGAGCCUGUCUUCUUAACUGGGCUCCCAGCCAAGGCUUCCCUGCCAACCCCCUUCCCCACUGCCUGUCAUGCACACACAACCAGAUCUAGCUUCCCUGAACACCACUUAGUCUAACUCACCAAGUGCUUAGAAACCUUUAAUGGGUUAUCUUUGCCUGGACUGAAGGCCCUACAAGAUCAGGUGUAUAUCUGCAAACAAUUGCCUAUACAACUUCAGCAAAUUCCACUAGUCAGAUGGGGCCUCCUCACAGAGCUCUGAAUAUCCCACACCUUUCCCCAGGUUUUCUCUUGUGUUGUUUCAACUUGUUUCUACCGGCUGAAAUCUGGACAAUCCUUGAAUACCUGGCUCAUGCCAUACUUCCCUGGCCACUGGCUUAUGUAACUCUUUUUUUCUUCUGAGCUUUCUACCACUUUUAAACUCAUUUAGCCACAUUUUGCCUUCUCCCUCCACUAGGUGUGCAAUAGCCCAUCUCUGUGAAGCCCCUUGAGGGCAGGGACCUCUGUAACCUCCAGCCCAGUGCUGAAUGUGAGAUGAGCAUACAGUACGGGGGUGGAGGGGGAGAGAUAGAUUCUUGAAACAAUGAAGUCUCUCUGGACAAUUUAGCAUUAUUUCCCUUUUGACCUGUGCUCAGGCACCCAUUUUAAAGUGAGAUCCAGAGGAGUUUAAUGGGGGGUGGAAGCAGGUGUCUAGAAAGGUCUCCAGAUGAAUGUGUUCAAAAGCAGAAUUGAGAUGGAUGAAGCAGGUGUUAGAGGCAAAAACAAACAAAAACCAUGGAAAACAAGGAAUUGAAUUUGACAUACCUUGGAGAUGGAAGGUGAGUGUACUGGGCUUAAUAAAUGUUCCUUGAAUGUUCAUGUCUACCUGGGACCUCAGAAUGGGACCUUGCUUGGGAAUAGGGCCUUUGCAGAUAAUAGUUAAUGAAAUAAACUCAUGCUAGAUGAGUGUGGCCCUGAAAUUCAGUGAUUAGCAUCUUUAUAAGAAGAGCAGAGAAUGCACAGAGAAGAAGACAGAAGCAUACCUGAGUGAUGUAGCUUCAAGCUAAGGAAGGCCAAAGAUUUCCAGGAAACACCAGAAGUCAGGAAAGGCAAAGAAAGAAUCUUUCUUGUAGUCUUCAGAGAAGGCAUGGCCUUGUGGGCACCUUGAUUUUGAACUUAUAUCCUGAAUUGUGGAAUAAUAAAUUUCUGUUGUUUUGAAUCACACAUUUUGUGGUAACUUGUAUGGCAGCCCUGGGAAACCAAUGCAGUGGGGUUCACUGUAUAUAUUAAAAAUUCCAGGGAAACAAAAUGCUUAGAUGACUGUGUAGACACUUAGAUGACUGUUUUCAGCACUAGGACCAGCACUGAGUUUCUAAUUGUGGUAAGAAAUUUAAACUUGUUAUUCAUGAUGGAAUUAUGACAAGACCUACAUAGGGGCAAAUCCACUCUUGAAAGCACCUCGUCCCUUAGGUGGAGGUGACCUAUCAGAUACUUGGGGCAUCAUGACCUUAAUGGAAAGCCAUGGGCAGAGCCUUCACUAUUAUGUGCAGGAAGAAGAAAUCAUACUAGAUGGGGUCUAUUGAGUGCUUACAUUUUUAUGCAGAAGAAAUCUGGUUAGAAUAAUCACCAGGUAUAGAGGAAGUACAUGCAAGAGGAGGGUAAUGGGGUGUACUAUGGUGGUUUGUGUGAAAAGGUGCACGGAAUGUGGGUAGGGUGGAAGUGGGAGAGGAGAAGGGGAAAUGGUAAAUGUCCUAAGCUGGUUUUUGCAGUGAGAGCUAUGUAAGAAAACUGCCUUCUUUUUCUGGGACACCAAGAAGCUCUGUCUUUCAGCUAGAAGUCCAUAAGAGCUGGGCAUGGUGGUGCAUGCCUGUAAUUUCAGCUACUUGGAAGUCUGAGGUAGGAGGAUCAUAUUUUGAGGCCAGCUUCAGCAAUUUAUCAAGGCCCUAGACAACUUAUUGAGACCCCCACCUCAAAAUAAAAAAAUACGGGCUGGGAAUGUGAUAAAGCACCCCUGAGUUCAAUUCUUAGAACAACAACAAUAACAACAACAAAAGCCCAUUACAUAGAGGGCAGGACAGGAGAUAGCUUGGCCUUUAUAGGCACUCCAAAAACUUUUUUCUCUUCACAGUGUCAGAGGUGCCCAGGCAUAGUGGAUGCACAGUGGGAACCAAGCUGGUUCUAUCCACGGUCACCUGUUCUGUGUGAGCAAGUCCAUCCUCUCUCUGGUUUUUGGUAUUAUUUCCCUUUUAUGGAGGCUUUCAGGGUUGAUGUGACUAUUGUGAAAAACAUUUUGUAAACCUCAAAAUGCUAUAUAAUAUUGUAUGUUGUAGUUCUCUCCAGGACUGAACAGGAAUCUAGAUGGAGUCCUACCCUUGGGGUUUGGGGAGGCUCACACAUUGUGAGACGUAAUGCAGGUUUCAGGGUGGGAGGAUAGAGGUAUUAUGCAGAUGGAUGGGGUGAUGAUUGCACAACAGAGUGAGUGCACUCAGUGCCACCAACUUAUAUACUUAAAAGUAGCUAAAAAGGCAAGUUUUAAUGUCUGUAUCUUCCCACAUUAAACAAACAAACAAACAACAACAAAACACUUCAAGCAUUCUUCCCCCAGCUCCUGCAGAAAAGUAAUACAAAUACUGGAUAAACUGUUAUUCAUGUAAAUUUGACACUCCAGGUGUUACAGAGCGGUUAUUAACACUUUGUGGUGAAUGCUCAUAUUUGCAGUUAUUGUGAGGAAUCAGCCCUGUUUACUGGGGCUCAACACAAUACAUUGUUGUUAUUGCUUUUGGAUGUCUCUAGAAAUUCCCUUGAGAGGGGGUAAAUUAGAUCAUAAUAAUUGAAAUAGAAAUGAACUAUCAACUAUACUCAAUAACAAAUGAUCUGAAAUGACUUUGCUAGUUCUACCUCUGUCCUCAAACUUAGUCUCCAUCCUCAGCACUACCCUUUCUUCUUUCUCUCUUCCCUUUCAUUCCCAAUUUGCUCUUUAUCCCAGUAGGUCAGGGUAGAAACAGAUUCUCAUGGCACAGAAAUAUAUGUCUCACAUCAUUAUCCUAGGUACAUGUGUGAUUACAUGAAUGGUGCAUCUCUACACCGUGUAAAACCAGAGAAUUGAAAUGUCGUGCUCCAUUUAUGUACAAUGAAUUGAAAUGUAUUCUGCUGUCGUGUACAAGUUGGAGGACAAAUUCCAGUCCUUCUAAGUAGGCCUUAAAAGUCUGGGUGGAGUGGGCACUCCUGGAGUCUGUGGAGAUUAUCAGACAAGAAGCUCAUGGCCUUGAGUGGUCAGGAGAGGCAGGAGUAAGAGCCAGUGUGAAGGUGUGGGAGUCAGAAGGAACUUGGAACUCAGCUCCUUGUGGCCUUUCAACUUGAGAUUCACAAAGAAAAAAAGCGAUAUCUCCUCACUGAAAGCAAAAUGGAACUUCCUUCAUGCAAAGGGAAGCCCUCCUGACUGUAGGUUAUUCGAGGGUGAAGAACAAACAUGAGUUCCACAUACCAUCUAAUGAUACAGGCAUAUCUAAAGGAGACAAGAAGACGGAAUGCAUCUUCCUGCGUGGGCAGUGCCUGCUGAGUGAAGGGAGGUUCGUGGCAAAGAUGACACCAGUAGCCGUGUGUAGCACUCACUCCUUGAGACUGUUGUUUCUGAAGCUGCAGUAUCCUCACAGGACCACAGAGGGAACAAAUGCAAACUACCCACAGUUCACUUAGCUGUACUCACUACACUUUCUUCAUUGAUCACAUGACACUGGAAGAUGAGAAUGAUUAAGGAGGAAAAGAAAAAAAAGAGCAUUCAAUUCUGCAGCAUGCUGAUAUGAGUGCCUAAAAAUGUACCUUGGUCAGAAAGUUUCACUGAGCUGGGGCUCAUACCCCAGGACUCGAAGAUACUCUUGGCAAACCUCUUGUGAGGAGGUUGAACAGAAAAUGGAAGCACCCAUGAAGGGCAGGUAGUUGCCGCAGGACUUGCCAACAGAUGGUUGGCCAUUCAUACAGUGUGAAGGAACCAUAGCUUUUGUGAUAAUGAUAUUUGAGCCAGCUUUUGUUUUGUUUUGUUUUUUGUUUGUUUCCAGAAGUAUUAAAAGUAGAAUGGAACCACCAUGUGUGGAGUAUAUAAAGUUUCACAGAUAGGAAGUGGGUAAAGUAUUUGUUUUGAAAAAUCAUCUUGCAGUAAUGUAAAAACAUCUCAAGAGAAAAAUGUCCUCAUCUAAUGCUGCGUUAGGGCAUGCAUUUCUAUAACCUAAAUCUGUUGGUGACACAAAAAUAUAUUUUUUGUUGAAAUUCUCCUCUUUUAUUUUUUGCAGUACUGAGGAUUAAGCAUGGUAGGCAAGCACUCUACCUCUGAGCUAUAUCCCCAGUCCUUUCUAAAUUUUAUUUUGAGGAAGGGGCUCACUAAGUUGCCCACUGAUCUCAAGUUUGUGAUCCUCCCAAGUAGCUGGAAUUAUAGGUGUGAACCACCAUGACCAGCUUUGGAGAUUCUUUGUGGAUAUUUACAAGCUAGAUACACUUCAGAAAAUAGCUAUGAGAGCAAAAUAGGUUCUAAAACACAUAAUAGUUUUUAGAAUUGGAUCUGCAAUUCUAAAGAAGAAGAAACACUAUAGAAGUAGAAAAAGAAAUGAAUAAAUAAUACAAUAGAGUACUGAUCUAUACUUGGACCUUGACUCAGGAAUUGAAAGAAUAAAUCUCAUAGACAUUGUAAGACUGUAGAAAAACUGGAUAGGGUCGAGUAAUGUUGUUCUUUUGGGAAAUUAAGACAAAACUAAAGUUAUUCAAGAAAGAGGAAUAUCCGAGUAUCUUAAAGGACUGCAAAAUGUAGUUUCACAGCUUGGAAAGACAAGCCAUGUCUGGGGACCCUUAUCCUUAUUCCAAACCAUGGUUGAGUUCUGAGUGUACUCUGAGAAGAACCUGAAACACAAUUUCUGGCUGGAGAAUCCUGAUGGUUGUCCUGAUAAACUUGGUACCUCUAAAGUCAGAAGCAACCACCGCUGGCCUAGAGGGCCUUGAGCGUAUUGACCUCAUAUUUCUGAUAUAUAGGCUUGUUCUGGGUCACCUUCUAAGCUCUGUCUUUUCCUCUCAAGCUUCCCUUUAUAUAAUCUUGCUUGUGUGUCAUCUGAUUUUUUGAUGCCUGAGGAUUUGCUUCUACCUUUCCAUGACCAAGCAUUGGCCAAAUCACUGUUUCUGUUUACUCAGUUGCAGUUAUCUGCCCCCGCUGGGGACUGUCUUCAGCUUUUGUAGCUGACAGCCUGUUUAAAUACAACCUAUUCUGUGGUCAUGCUGAGCCACAGGAAGCACUGUCUUUUGGAUUUUGCAGAACUCACACACUUAAAUGUACAGGGUCAGUUUUUAUAGCUGUUGCUGCAUCCACAUUGGACAGUGACCUUGGCUGAGACAUCCAUUACCUCUGUUUCAGAUAAAUUUAUCUGGUAUUUAAAAUCUCCAAUGUGCUUCCUCCAACUUGUCCAGAGCAAAGUAAAAUUAAAGACUGCAUCAAGUAAUGGAGAAAAGCCACAUUUUGGGCCUUUGCUGCUUUAUGAAUCUUGGAUGGUUUCAAAGAUGGCAGUAUAAAUGCAGAUGGCACUGCUCUGCAUUUGCCUGGCAUAGCUUUAAAAUAAGCAGUGUAUUUCAAACCUUCAUUGUUGGAAUGGUAUUUCCAAAUACAGACCCCAAAAGCCCUCAGGUGUUUGAUUCUAGGAUCAAGCUGGAGAUUCUUCUAUGCAAAUAUCUCCUGUGGCAUUGGAGUGGACCUUGGCUUCUGGGUCUUUUGCUUCCAACUCUUUCAUUUCUGGACGCUGGUGUGAAUCUACAUCUUGAAAUACAUACCUUAACAAGAAUUUCUGACCUGUAGAAAACUUGUCUUUUGUGGAACAAAAGAAACGUAUGGAAAUAUCAAAGUAUCAGAAGCAGCAGUCACUAGCGAGGUCAUGAACGGAGGUCGGAUAACCUGAAAAAUAAAGUUCCAUGUGCCAAAAGCUAUAUUUGAUUUGUUUGGACUUUAUCCUUCAUUAUUUUCCUCUUUUAUAUUGAUCUUCUGAAAUUAAGUGAUUUUUCACUAUCUGCAUCAUAUUGUGAAAAAUGCGAAGUCCGGAAAUCGGACAGUGUUUCUUACUUGAGUAAUAAAUAGGAAGCAGCAUGGUGUGGAGGAAGGAGCUUGGGUUCCUCCUCUGCCUUGGCUGCUGACCUAGUCUUUGUCAUGGUAUCUCUUUGCAUUUCUCUCUUUAUAUCUGUAAAAUGGGUGGGGGGACUUUCUGGGGCACUUUUCUGGCUCUAAAAUUUAGCAACUCUGUAUUGCUGAUGGUUUCUUCUGUUUGGAGUUUCUAAAUCUGUCACAACUGAGAGGCCAAAGUUUAGGAGGAAUGGAAAGUUAUAGCUCUAUUUGUAAUAAUGUUUAAAACUUUUCAAUGCAAAUGCAGAUAAUUAAUUUAUCAUCAUUUCCUGAACGUUUUAUACUUUAAAAUACUGUAUUAUAAAAUGUAAUCUCAAGAAAACCACAUUUUUAAAUUUUAAAAUAAAUGGUUGUUCCUGCUUA